Long non-coding RNA from Homo sapiens (human), 3734 nucleotides. The record is from Ensembl. Lineage: Eukaryota; Metazoa; Chordata; Mammalia; Primates; Hominidae.
GACUCCUCGGCGCCAUCGCUGUCGCUGGAAUCAGCCGCGCGCUGCCGAAAAGUCCUUUUCGGCCUGUGAGCCAUGGCCGAGGCCCGAGCGCCCGGCGCCCUAGAACCCGCUGAACCGCAAGCCGCAGCUUCAGUGCCCGCCCCCUAGGGCGCGCUCCCGCCGCGCCUGGCCGCCGAGUGCGCGCGCCCGUCCCGCCUGCCUUCUGCUCACCGCUACUCUGUCUGCGCCUGCGUGCUUUGGCUCCCUGGAUCUGAGCCGAAGCUGGACUGUACUGCUGCCAUCUCGGCUGACUGCAACCUCCCUGCCUGAUUCUCCUGCCUCAGCCUGCCGAGUGCCUGCGAUUGCAGGUGCGCGCCGCCACACCAGACUGGUUUUCGUAUUUUUUUGGUGGAGACGGGGUUUCGCUGUGUUGGCCGGGCUGGUCUCCAGCUCCUAACCGCGGGUGAUCCGCCAGCCUCAGCCUCCCGAGGUGCCGGGAUUGCAGACGGAGUCUCGUUCACUCAGUGCUCAAUGGUGCCCAGGCUGGAGUGCAGUGGCGUGAACCUCCACCUCCCAGCCACCUGCCUUGGCCUCCCAAAGUGCCGAGAUUGCAGCCUCUGCCCGGCCGCCACGCCGUCUGGGAAGUGAGGAGUGUCUCUGCCUGGCCGCCCAUCGUCUGGGAUGUGAGGAGCCCCUCUGCCUGGCUGCCCAGUCUGGAAAGUGAGGAGCGUCUCUGCCCGGCCGCCAUCCCAUCUAGGAAGUGAGGAGUGCCUCUUCCCUGCCGCCAUCCCAUCUAGGAAGUGAGGAGCGUCUCUGCCCGGCCGCCCAUCGUCUGAGAUGUGGGGAGCGCCUCUGUCCCACCGCCCCGUCUGGGGUGUGAGGAGCGCCUCUGCCCGGCCACCACCCCAUCUGGGAGGGGUACCCAGCAGCUCACUGAGAACGGGCCAUGAUGACAAUGGCGGUUUUGUGGAAUGGAAAGGGGGGAAAGGUGGGGAAAAGAUUGAGAAAUCGGAUGGUUGCGGUGUCUGUGUAGAAAGAAGUAGACAUGGGAGACUUUUCAUUUUGUUCUGUACUAAGAAAAAUUCUUCUGCCUUGGGAUCCUGGUGAUCGGUGACCUUACCCCCAACCCUGUGCUCUCUAAAACAUGUGCUGUGUCCACUCAGGGUUAAAUGGAUUAAGGGCGGUGCAAGAUAUGCUUUGUUCAACAGAUGCUUGAAGGCAGCAUGCUCGUUAAGAGUCAUCACCACUCCCUAAUCUCAAGUACCCAGGGACACAAACACGGCGGAGGGCCGCAGGGUCCUCUGCCUAGGAAAACCAGAGACCUUUGUUCACUUGUUUAUCUGCUGACCUUCCCUCCACUAUUGUCCUAUGACCCUGCCAAAUCCCCCUCUGCGAGAAACACCCAAGAAUGAUCAAUAAAAAAUUAAAAAAAAAAAAUUACACAACUUCUUCUUUAGAAGCCUGAUAAAGCCAUUUAAAUUUAAAUUUAUUCACUGAAGUUAUCAUGAAUAGUUACAUAGCCUUUGAAUUAUUCUUAACAAUCCAAGGAAAAAUUUACUAUAAUAGAUCACUUCUUGAUGUGGUUAUAUAUGUUAGAGGACAAGUAGAAUAGUCCAUGUCUAAGCUAAAAUAAACAUCUACCUCUCUAAAACAGAUCCAGGUGAAUUCUGGGAUAUAUUUUCAUCACCCUUAUUUUAUAUUCUAGGCUUCUGUCUUUGAGACUUAUUGUGAAGGUGAAUAAGUAAUCAUAUUUUUUAGGUUAUUACUUUUUUGCAGUUGGCCAAUAUAUCCUAUUCAGACAUCUAAAUAUGACUGCAUAGCCAUUGUCAUGUAAGAUGAUUCAAUUCAUCCUAUGACAGAAGGAGGAGUUAACCCUAAUCCAAUAUGGACUCUGUUCUCUGAACGACUGUACUAGUCCAUUCCAGCACUGUUUAAAGACAUACCUGAGAUUGGGUAAUUUAAAAAGAGGUUUAAUUAGCUCAUGGUUCAGCAGGCUGUAUAGGAAGCAUGAUGGUGGCAUCUGGGUGGCUUCUGGGGAGGCCUCAGGAAACUUGAAACCCCUCAGGUGAAGGGGAAGCACACAGAUCAGCUCACAUGGCCAUAGUAGGAGCAAGAGAGAGAUGGGGGAGAUGCCACACACUUUUAAAUGACCAGAUCUCACGAGAACUCAAUCAUUAUUGUCAUGACAGUACUAAGGUGGAAAUCCACUCCCGUGAUCCAAUCACCUCCCAUCAGGCCCCACCUCCAACACUGGGGAUUACAAUUCAACAUGAGAUCUGGGUGGAGACAGAGAUCCAAACCAUAUCAACAACUUUCUGAUCUUGAUUAGCAAAAUCUCAGCAAUGGUAAAAAUCUGAAUAUCAACAAUAUCAUCUUCCUUUGGCAGGGGAUUGAGAAAAAUAAUUGCUUCUGUUUUCUGAUAGCAUCCAAUUUGGAGCAAAUUCCUACAUCCUUAACACCCACCGUCAAUCAUCUAAGACAAACUCAAAUCCUAAAACCUUCCUACUGAGAGAGCCCAGGAGUAGUAAACCCAAGUUCCACAACUGCAGGUGCAUUUGUAGUAGUCUUUGACUGGAGGGAAUUGACAGAUUGAGUGAUGUAAAAUUGCCAUUGUUGUAAGCAAAAAAUCGUUGCAUAUUGGCCAUUUUAUAUGGUUCAACUUAAUGCAACAAACAUGGCCAUUUUGAGGGUCUAUCUCUGAGAGUCAGUGGUAAUUCUAAGAGAAAAAGCCCUACUACUACAUGUUGAGCAUCCCUAGUCCAAAUACCUGAAAUCCAAAAUGAUCCAAAAUCUAAAACCUUUAAAGUGGCAACAUGAUUCAACAAAAGGGAAAUUCCACAUGUGACUUCAUGUGAUGGAGCACAGUAAAAAUGUAGACAAAACUUUGUUUCAUGCACAAAAUUAUUUAAAAUAUUGUGUAAAGUUACCAUCAGCCUAUGUGUAUACUGUGUGUAUAAAACAUAAAUAAAUUUCAUGUUUAGACUUGGAUCCUAUCCCCAAAAUAUUUCAUUAUGUAUGUGCAAGUAUUCCAAAAUCUGAAAAAAAUCUAAAUUUGAAAAUCUUCUGGUCCCAUGCAUUUUGGAUAAGGAACAUUCAACUUAUAUUUCUACUACUAGAUGAUAGAUAAGUUAUCAAGAGUUAAUAGGAAAAUGUGGUAGAAACAGUAGAUAGCUUUUAAAUUAAUGUUGUCUGGAGAGAAAGAUAGGAAAGAAUUAGAUAUUGGAGAGGCUUCAGAGGGUUUAUAUGCAAAGACAGAGAUGAAAGUAAAAAAAAAAGGAGUUAAAAAUACUGCAGAGAGUAAAUACUGGAACCCCAGAAGCAUGGAAAAGGUUGGAAUUUAGUCCUCAAGGAAGAAUAGCCCAGGAAAUAAUAACUGCAAACUCAAAGUAGACCUCCGAUGUGCGAAGACUGUUCUAAAAUCCUUGCAAGUUGAAUCUUGAAAACAUCAUGUUAAGGGAAGGAAGCCAGUGACAAAAGAACAGAGAGUGCAUGAUUUCAUUUAUAUGAAAUAUUCAGAAUAGGUAAGUCUACAGAGGCAGAAAGUUGAUUUGUGGUUGCCAGGAGCUUUGGGGAGGGAAGAAUGGGGAGUGGCUGCUAAUGGGUACAGGGUUUCUUUUUGGGGUGAUAAAAAUGUUCUAAAUUUAGAUUGUGAUGAUGGUUGUACAACUCUGUGAAUAUACUAAAAAUCAUUUAACUAUAUACAUUAAUUAUGCAAAUUGUAUGUGAAUUAUGUAUCAAUAAAGAUAUUUUUAAAA